This 34-nucleotide small RNA is filed under the name Arabidopsis thaliana (thale cress). RNAcentral's name for it is "ATSL273860". The record is from RNAcentral. Lineage: Eukaryota; Viridiplantae; Streptophyta; Magnoliopsida; Brassicales; Brassicaceae.
UUCUUGCUUCUUCUUCUUCUUCUUCCUCUUUUUC